UACGGAGGGUGCAAGCGUUGCUCGGAAUUAUUGGGCGUAAAGGGUAGGUAGGUGGUCUCGUUUGUCUGGGGUGAAAGCCUUGAGCUUAACUCAAGAAGUGCCCCAGAAACGGCGAGACUAGAGUUCUGGAGAGGGUCGUGGAAUUCCCGGUGUAGCGGUGAAAUGCGCAGAUAUCAGGAGGAACACCGGUGGCGAAGGCGGUUCUCUGGGAAUGACCUGACGCUGAGGAGCGAAAGUGUGGGGAGCGAACAGG
This 253-nucleotide ribosomal RNA is filed under the name uncultured bacterium. RNAcentral describes it as "partial 16S ribosomal RNA". It matches the Rfam family "Bacterial small subunit ribosomal RNA", at positions 524 to 776 of the family's 1533-position model. The record is from RNAcentral.